Arvicola amphibius (Eurasian water vole) is the source of this 7930-nucleotide long non-coding RNA. RefSeq lists it as uncharacterized. NCBI's taxonomy places the organism in Eukaryota, Metazoa, Chordata, Mammalia, Rodentia, Cricetidae. The record is from RefSeq and is a predicted model, not a curated record. The transcript has 2 exons.
UGCCGGUUGGGACACUCAGGCUGGAACAUGCUGUACACCAGAGCACUGGGUGGCCUGGGGCAGGUCCUUGCCCUCUCUGGACCCCACUCUGUCCAUUUCUGUGAGGCGAAGGCUUGCUGCGACUCUCUCUGGACCUGUGUAUGAGCGGGCAAGGCUGAGGCCACUCCAGGGUGAGAAGAGCAAACCACGGACACCCUGCGCUUUCUGUCACUCCCUGGGGUGUUUGUCUGACCCUUCCACGGGGAGGAUUUAACUACAGUGUCUGCUUGAGGAGCAGUGGGCAGGCAGUAUGUGCUGGGUGUAUGAUGUGCAAAGGAUGGCUCGCUUCCUGGGAGAGACACAGAAAGAGCACAGUGCUACACACAACUGCGUGUGACGUGAAGGUCAGAAACCAUUUCUGGAAUUUUUCCACUUGAAACUAUUGGUUUUGGUUUUUUUGUUGUUGUUGUUUUUUUUUUUUUUUUUUUUUUUGAGACAAGGUCUCACUGUGCAGUUGGAAUUCCUCAUCCUCCUGUCCUUGCCUCCCUGGGGCUGGGAUUGCAGGAGCCUUCCACCAGAACUUGCUUCUAUUUAAUGUUAUUUGGAUCAUGGUGGACAGCAGGUCAUGGAAGCCCUAGAACACAAAACCACGGAGAAGGGAGGCUACGGUCAUUCCCAGUUCAAAGAAACAGCCAGGCUCUACGGAAGUACUUUGGGAAAAGAUGCUUCAAGACAGCCUGUUUUCCCACAGGACGCAGGCUGGAGGUGAUGGGCCCAAGCAAGGCAGGUUUAAGGGCCCCAUGCUCCUGACGCUGGGGAGGUGACCUCACUGGAGAGACUACUGCUGCCUCUGCUAUAGAGAUCUUCCCCUCUGUGUCAGGGCUCUAGACCAGGAGUUGGGGGAUUCCCAGGCCUGGAAAUUCUUGCUAAAAUAAUUCCACGCCCCACCUCAAAACCCCUUAAAUCGGUCACUCUCAGCUCCGUUUCUUGGAAGAAGUUGGCCCGUGAUCAAAAGUUCUGGAAUCCACCACAGGAAGCGGCCACUUGAGCAAGGAGAAAGGACUCUGAUUAAAGGGCCAAGCAUUCUGGGUCCCGAUCUCCCCUCCUGUAAUUACAGGCAUGUGCCAGAUGAGCCUGGAUUCAACUCCAGCUCUGCCGUUGGGAGUUGCCCGGUUCCUGCCAAAGCGGGAGCCUCGCUGAGCCCUGGCUUCCUCUUUGUGACGAGGAUUGAAGUAUCUGUCUGGCGGGUUCUCGGGAGGAUUUCAGAGGGAGGGAUGGGGCUUGCAGUACCUUGGCAUGUAAGGAUGCUGGCUCACUGCUUUGUAAGAAGCUGCUACUCACAGAGCGAGUGUCCCUUCACCCAACCUAGCAAGACACUCCAGGACACUUGAUCUUUCUGACUGCUAACAGACACAAUGGGUGAACCAGUGCUCUGAGCCACCAGUUGCUGUUACCCCACCUCUGCACCCCCAGGUCACAGCCUCUGAAACUCCUCCAGGGCCCCUCCGCCCAGAUGUCAGGUAGCCCAUGUACUUACUGAACCAUCUGUCUCUCUUGUUAAAUCUUUCUUGUGGUCCCAGGCGAUGGCUCCACCUCUGCCCCGAUGUUCCAAGGUUCCGAGUCCUUUCCCCAUCAGACUCUCCCUGUUCUCUAAGCCCCUCAGAUCCCCCCCUCUUGCCGCCUCCACCACCUCACGCCCACGUCAGCUAAGUGGCAACAGCCAUGUCUUCUCUGAUUGCCAGAUUCCAGUGUGUCCUUCCAGUUCAUUCUCUCACUCUGGACAGAGAUGCCUUCAAAAAGCAGGGCCCCUCAUCACCCCUUGAUGAGAUCACCCCAUCAUGGCCCACCCUUCAUGCUGGUUGCUGCAGGUGGGGCUCCUGGGGAGGGAGACCAAGAGGAAGAUUUGCUGGCAGAGUGCUCUUUGGGGGAGUUCUCUCAUAAUCGGUAUCUAUGGGGAGCAGAUAAAGUAGGACCAGGCCGAGGGACAGAUUGGACUUCGAAGCAAACCCCUCAAAGGCCUUUGCCUGCUUCUCCUGAAGGUCUGGAGCUGGAAUGUCUGUGUGUGCACAGGGGUGUGUGUGUUUGUGUUAAGAUACAUGUGUUCCUGUGAGUGCAUGCAUGAGUGUGUGCCAUGCAAUACACAUGUUGUUUGUGGAGAUCAGAGGUCAAUGUUGGGCGUCUUCUUCAAUUGUUCCCCAUUUAAGUUUGUUUUUCAUUUGUGCGUGUGUGUGUGCGUGCGUGCACGUGUGUGUGCAUGUGUGCGUGCAUGUGUGUGUGUGCAUGUGUGUGCAUGUGUGCAUGCAUGCGUGUGUGCUCAUAAGCUCUCACCUUGUCUCUCGUGUGGACAUGAGAGGACAGCUUAUGGGUGUCCCUUCUCCCUCUUCACCAUGUGGGUCCUGGGAUCAAAUUCAGGCUGUCAGGCUUGGCAGCAAGCCCCACCUCACCACUAAACCAUCACACUGACCUUCUACUUUAUUUCUGGAGACCAAGUCUUUCACCAGACACGGAGUUCGUUCAUUUGAAUGAGCUGACUGACAGGGAGUUCCGACCCGCCUGUCUUCUCCUUGGCACUGGGAUCACACGUGGCGUGUCAUCCUCUGCGCCUGAAUUUUACACAAAUGCUGGGGGUCCACACCCAGGUGUUUUCAGACUGGCACAGCAGGGACUUUCCAUACUGAGCCAUCUCCCCGGCCUCUAGAGUGACUUUUCAUAAUUGUCCCACAUUGAGGGAAGAGUCCUGGACCCCCACACCUCUUAUGAACCAUUUACCGGACACAAGAAGGGGAGACAACGGCAGGGAGGGGAAUUAACCUCAAACUCUGCCUCUGGAAAUCCCAGCAACUGAAGAAGGAAGGAUCCAGCCUGGAGAUGCAGAGGCGUCCGGGCUGCACCCAUGGUGACCACCACCAAAGUGCUGGGGGUGGAGCAGAAGCUUGAAACGUCUAUCGUGUAAAGCACAAAACCACUGGGCCUUCAGGCUAGGUCCUGCAUGAUUUAGUACCCCAGGCUCUGUGAGAGCUGCCCCAAACACCCUUCCCUCCUCCCUCAUAGCCUUGUUUGCCACUUGCUCCCAACUGUCUAACCGUGCUGUGCCUCUCUCAGCUUCCCAAGCUCGGCAGGCCAUUUCACACCUCUCUGCCUUUGCUUUUGCUAAUUUCAUCUGCCAGGGAUGCCUUUCAAUGGGAAAGAGAAAUCCUUUUCUCCUCUAUCAGCCAGCUCCUACUCUUCCGACAAUCCUGCCUUCCCUGAGAAGACUUCCGCUAAUUCUUUCAUGCUGAUGCUGCCACAUGCCCAGGACACACCCACGGGGCACCGAUCUGUCCGUGAGGGCCAGCACCUGGCUUCUUUCCAAUUUACAGGGCAAGCCCUAGCUACUUGGUGUCUCUGGAUGUGUGUACUAAGGUGGGAUGUCUUAGAGAAAGGCACCCAGGAAUAAGCCCACGGGUGGAGUCAGACGGCAUUGUGGCUGACAUCAUCCUUCCCCCUUUCCUCGCCGUUCCCACCACCAUCAUCUUGCCAAACCAUUCUCCCUGCGUGCCGACUACGUCCCAGGCUCGGUGCCAUGUGUGUUUCGAACACGCUUCCCAUCGGUCCAUAUUUUAUCCUCACCUUUAACCACCCUCUAAAGGGUGGUUAUUAUUGUUAUCACUGUCUUACAGGAUGGAAGGCCGAGGCUGGCUAGGGGUGGGAAUGAUCCAAGGACACCCUCCAUCACACACGCUUGGGCAGCCAGCCACAGUGACCUCAGCCCUUCUGGGUCCCUCCCGCUUACAUCACUGUCUGCUUGCCUAAAUGAUCUGCGAUACAGGGUGGAGCCGUAUGUGCAGCCGCAAGAUCUAGGAGGGGGCCUUGGGAGAGGUGGGGGAGACCAUUCGGAACCACAUCCAGCCUUCCAGACCCAACCAAGACAGGGUUUGAUUCAUCCACAAUUACUUCAUAUUAUACGUUGCAUGGAGAGCGUGUUUCCAGCCCCAUGUCUGCAAAUCUGGAACCUGCCAUCUCACAGAGAGGACUUGCGGAAGGUGUAGCUCAGCUGGUGAAGUGUUUGCAUGCACAACCUUGGUUUAACCCCUGCACCACAUAAAGUCAGGCGUGGCGGUAUACCUUACCCUCCCAGCAUUCCAGAAGUGGAGGCAGGAAGAUCACAAAUUCAAGGCCAUCCUUGGCUAUCUAAACAUCAGGUUUAUAGCCUGAGAUUCGUGAAACCUUGUCUCAAAAACAAACAAGCAAAUGAACCCCAAAGGGUAGAGAACUUUGCAAGAACACACGACCCAUCCAGCAAUAGCCAGCGCUGCAGCCUGGGGUCUGGGCUCCCUGCCAAGCUAACUGGCAGAAAUGAGCAAUCGGAGGGUGCUGAGCAGGGGUCUCCUCACUCUGAGGAGUGUGCUUCCAAAAAUUGAUGGUAAGGCUCAGAAUCUUCCAGAGAAAAUGGAUCUUGAGACCCGAGGGGUGAGGCCUCUGACCCCAAGUCAGCCUCCACAGUCAGGUGGCCAACGGAAAGCCCCGCUCUCUCUCCCCUGACUUAAGGGGUGGACCUGAAAUGCAGUAGACUCCAAACCUGGCCACAGUAGCAACGGAUGCACAAACAAGGGACAGCGGAGUUGGUGAGUGACUUCCAUCCAGACUGAUUGAAAUCAGGAGCCAUUGUGCCAACUGUGUGGAUUUUGGACAAAUGUCUGAUUACCCAAGCCUCGGUCUUCUCCUUCCACACAAUGGGAGUGAGAGCUGUCACCUGGCAGGGUUGUCACACGCACUCAGUGAGAAAAGCAUUGAAGGCAUUCAGUCGGGUCACGAGAUCUGGGGCGAGAAGCUCUUAGUGGUAGCUGCAUUAUUAUUUUGUUUGGAGCAGACACAGAUGGUGGAUUCGUCUGCGGUUCUGGUCCUCACUAGACAGGGCUGAGUCUUCUAUGCCCCUGGAGCCCAGUGUGAAUCUCUGAAGCUGGGGGAAGGGAAGCUGUGACUGUCUCACGGAUGAGAGGAGCCAAACCUGGGGGAGGCAGAAAACUUACUGAGGUCACCAGGAGUGUCGGUGACAAACCGUGAAAAAGGACCUCACCCUGAUCCCGAACCAAGCCCAGCAGAAAGACUUGGUCCCAUAGUCUCGUGGAGUAAAAAGACGAUCCUACCAACUGCUGCCCUGCCUCUGCUCCUGCUGCCCAGGUCCCGGGCAAAGCCCCCAUGACCCCAGCUGCCAGUCUGAGGAGGAAUCCUGGCUCAGGAUAGGUGUGACUACUCCGAGAUCCCAAAGCUUCACUGGCUGGGCUGGACAGGGCCUAUACCCCAGACUCAGAGACUGAGAGACAGAGACACCAGCUCAGGAGAGUAAGCUCACUUGGGAAAUUCUGGAUGGGCAGACCCCUGGCAACAGUUGUUUCUCUCUGGACAGCCCUCACUCAAUCAGCAGGAGGCCUCUGAGGGUGCACACGGGACCCUAACCGAGCACAUUCCUGGAUCAUAUAACCCCCCCACAGUAUCAUGUGCCUGUAACCCCACACAACCCCACCCCAUCCCCACGGUGCCAUUGCAAGUGCUGUCCUCUGCCCAGAAGCUGCCCUUGCCUUGUGCCUCUAAUUCUUGCUCCUCUUUGGUUUCUCAGCAGGGUUCUCUACUUCCCACGCAAGUCAACAGCUGCUGCCAGCUCUCGCAUCCCCAGCCUGGUGCUUCUCGGGGACCAGGUCACUCUAAGAGUCACUGUGUCUGUGUCUCUGUCUUGCAUCAGAUAGAAGUCUCUAGAAGGCAGAAGUGAGCUCCGACACAAAGCAACAGUCCCAGAUGCGUUAAAGGUUGACUACAAAGGAUCUUCGGCUCCCUCCCUCCUUACCCUCUUCCCCCAAAGACCGCUUGAACACCUACUGUGGGCCAGGCUGCAGGAAAAGAGUAAAGUCUUGUGUGCAUGUGUAUUGUUUGACACGGUCAGGGCCAUGACAAAGACCAGUACCUCAGUCCCAGGUUGGAGUUCCAGGACUCAGGUCGUGGACGGUCUCAGCACCACGUUCUGAGUGCAGGAGAUAGGACAGUGAUCAACAGAGUUCCUGCAACAUGGUCGUCAUUCUCCUAAGGGGAAGCGGAGGAGAGACCACAGAAACUAUGAAAAUCCUGACACAUUUGGGUGGUAACAGACACUAGAAAGUAUAAGAGCGUUGGGAGAACCGAGGGCUGCGGGCUCAGGUCUGUUCACCAUCCUCUCAGGCUGCUCAGAGCUGCACGGGGAACGCUGUGAGCAGGAAGCUCUGGUCCCUGGAUGUGCCAGACAGCCCCUACCCACAGCACACUUCCUGGCUCUCCAGGAAUUUGACUCAGCAACCGUUCUGAGGAGUCAGCUGUGAGCCGAUCACAAUAGAUACCAUUAUGGAGGGCCUUGGGAGCCCCAUGGGUGGAGAUGACCUUCCCAGUACAGAAGCCUCUGUCCGUCUGAGCAUGACUAGUCUCCUCUGAAGGAGGGCCCAACGUCACACAGCCCACACUAGCCCAGCUAGUACUUGACUCUUGGAUCCCACUGUCUCCCUACCCCAUAGCCUCCCUAAGACUUGAAGCGACUUGUAAGCAGUCUGUCUGGUGGUGCACAGAGUCAGGGUGUGUCUGUGUAGCGAGGUGCUGAUCCCAGUCAAGAUUGCUGAGUGGGGUGCACACUAGCCCCUCCUGAAGCUUGGGGGUGGGCAUGCUCACACCAGGAGUCCUCUCUACCCCUCCAUGACAACUGUGCCCUAUGCCAAGACGGCCUAUGAACCAUGAUAGGUUUGCUCUGAACUUGGGCAUAGGUGAAGGCAGUUAUGCACCCAGCACCCAACUGACCUGGCUGGAAGCCCAGGUCCAAGGCCAGGGCUGGGCUGAGGGCAGGGUUAGCUGCCAAUCAGGGCAUUAGAUGAGGGUGGAGUCAAGGAUAGGGAAUCAUGGAUUCAUGCUGAUACAGAAUGACUCUGCAGUAUUUCAGGUCUCUUCUCCCCAGCUGCUGUUCCUGUUCUUGGGACAUAAACAAGGAACUUUCGCCGAGGCCCUACUAUGCACCAGGCCUCUUCUUAGGCAUUUUCUGGCCUCCUCUGCCAAUGCAGAGUGGAAGGAGUUGCCACGUAGGCGUUCUGGCUUGUAAGUGCCUUCCCGUCCCUGUGUACCUGAAGGCUUGAACAACAGAAUUGUGUUACCUUAAUGUCCUGGAGGGCCAGGUGUCCAGGACUCAGCUGGCUUGGUUUCUCGAGCCCUCACUUCAUGACAUGUAGACGCCACCUUUAUAGUUACAUGGCUUUCAACACGUAGAUCCACAUGCUCGCCCUAGGAGGACACCAGUAACACAGAAUCAAGGCCCAGCCCGUUCAACUGAUUGUCACUGGUACCUCUCCCCAGAUAGUCACGUUCCAAAAUUCUCUAGGGCCUUUAGGAGAGACUGGGGGGUGGGGAAGGGGUCACAGUCUGCCUAUAAUAAUGAGAGACAGCCAGGCUUUGAACAAGGGUCUUUUAGAUUCCUCUUUGGUCCACCCCUUUUCCCUUGUACCCAAACACUGCUUGCUGGCCUGUGCGCGCGUGUCAAUCCAUACAUGUGACUUCAUCCACAGGUGCCUCAGAGUGAGCACCAGGAGGACUGUGAGGCUGGGGGUUGGGGGUGGGGAAUGCUCACACCAGGAGUCAGGAGGGACAGAAGGGCGUGAACCUGACCUCCCCUCCACCCACUAACACCCUGUAAGUCUGUCAAGUUGGGAGCGUAGGCCCCAGCCCCUCGCAUCUAUCCCAGCCCCUAGGCCUGGUCUGGACUCCAAAUCCCAGCAAGCCAGGUCCUGACCCCUCCCUGGGGGUGGGAUCAGGACCACUUUUUCCCCAGCGUAUUUAAAUGAGCUCCCAAAAGAGGAACACGUGGUCCCUUUUCCUUCCUCUCGGUGGUUCCGUUCCCGCGUCUUCCUGGUUCUCCCUCGGGGCCACCCGAGAGCGCAGAAUUCCCAUUAAACCUGGAUAUUUCUUGCUU